GAUGAAGAACGCAGCGAAAUGCGAUAAGUAAUGUGAAUUGCAGAAUUCAGUGAAUCAUCGAAUCUUUGAACGCACAUUGCGCCCGCCAGUAUUCUGGCGGGCAUGCCUGUUCGAGCGUCAUUACAACCCUCAGGCCCCCGGGCCUGGCGUUGGGGAUCGGCGGAGCCCCCCGUGGGCACACGCCGUCCCCCAAAUGCAGUGGCGGUCCCGCCGCAGCUUCCAUCGCGUAGUAGCUAACACCUCGCGAAUGGAGAGCGGCGCGGCCACGCCGUAAAACACCCAACUCUUCUGAAGUUGACCUCGAAUCAGGUAGGAAUACCCGCUGAACUUAAGCAUAUCAAUAAGCGGAGGA
Molecule: unclassified non-coding RNA, 352 nt
Filed under: soil metagenome
Description: partial contains 5.8S ribosomal RNA, internal transcribed spacer 2, and large subunit ribosomal RNA
Rfam family: 5.8S ribosomal RNA (bases 1-120)
Source: RNAcentral